This 1253-nucleotide ribosomal RNA is filed under the name Microbacterium oxydans. RNAcentral's name for it is "bacterial SSU rRNA". It matches the Rfam family "Bacterial small subunit ribosomal RNA", at positions 165 to 1430 of the family's 1533-position model. Lineage: Bacteria; Bacillati; Actinomycetota; Actinomycetes; Micrococcales; Microbacteriaceae. The record is from RNAcentral.
AAUACUGGAUAUGUGACGUGACCGCAUGGUCUGCGUCUGGAAAGAAUUUCGGUUGGGGAUGGGCUCGCGGCCUAUCAGCUUGUUGGUGAGGUAAUGGCUCACCAAGGCGUCGACGGGUAGCCGGCCUGAGAGGGUGACCGGCCACACUGGGACUGAGACACGGCCCAGACUCCUACGGGAGGCAGCAGUGGGGAAUAUUGCACAAUGGGCGCAAGCCUGAUGCAGCAACGCCGCGUGAGGGACGACGGCCUUCGGGUUGUAAACCUCUUUUAGCAGGGAAGAAGCGAAAGUGACGGUACCUGCAGAAAAAGCGCCGGCUAACUACGUGCCAGCAGCCGCGGUAAUACGUAGGGCGCAAGCGUUAUCCGGAAUUAUUGGGCGUAAAGAGCUCGUAGGCGGUUUGUCGCGUCUGCUGUGAAAUCCGGAGGCUCAACCUCCGGCCUGCAGUGGGUACGGGCAGACUAGAGUGCGGUAGGGGAGAUUGGAAUUCCUGGUGUAGCGGUGGAAUGCGCAGAUAUCAGGAGGAACACCGAUGGCGAAGGCAGAUCUCUGGGCCGUAACUGACGCUGAGGAGCGAAAGGGUGGGGAGCAAACAGGCUUAGAUACCCUGGUAGUCCACCCCGUAAACGUUGGGAACUAGUUGUGGGGUCCAUUCCACGGAUUCCGUGACGCAGCUAACGCAUUAAGUUCCCCGCCUGGGGAGUACGGCCGCAAGGCUAAAACUCAAAGGAAUUGACGGGGACCCGCACAAGCGGCGGAGCAUGCGGAUUAAUUCGAUGCAACGCGAAGAACCUUACCAAGGCUUGACAUAUACGAGAACGGGCCAGAAAUGGUCAACUCUUUGGACACUCGUAAACAGGUGGUGCAUGGUUGUCGUCAGCUCGUGUCGUGAGAUGUUGGGUUAAGUCCCGCAACGAGCGCAACCCUCGUUCUAUGUUGCCAGCACGUAAUGGUGGGAACUCAUGGGAUACUGCCGGGGUCAACUCGGAGGAAGGUGGGGAUGACGUCAAAUCAUCAUGCCCCUUAUGUCUUGGGCUUCACGCAUGCUACAAUGGCCGGUACAAAGGGCUGCAAUACCGCGAGGUGGAGCGAAUCCCAAAAAGCCGGUCCCAGUUCGGAUUGAGGUCUGCAACUCGACCUCAUGAAGUCGGAGUCGCUAGUAAUCGCAGAUCAGCAACGCUGCGGUGAAUACGUUCCCGGGUCUUGUACACACCGCCCGUCAAGUCAUGAAAGUCGGUAACACCUGAAGCCGG